RNAcentral lists this ribosomal RNA (444 nucleotides) under uncultured bacterium. RNAcentral describes it as "partial 16S ribosomal RNA". It matches the Rfam family "Bacterial small subunit ribosomal RNA", at positions 339 to 795 of the family's 1533-position model. The record is from RNAcentral.
CUACGGGUUGCACCAGUGGGGAAUAUUGCACAAUGGGCGAAAGCCUGAUGCAGCAACGCCGCGUGAGGGACGACGGCCUUCGGGUUGUAAACCUCUUUUAGCAGGGAAGAAGCGAAAGUGACGGUACCUGCAGAAAAAGCACCGGCUAACUACGUGCCAGCAGCCGCGGUAAUACGUAGGGUGCAAGCGUUGUCCGGAAUUAUUGGGCGUAAAGAGCUCGUAGGCGGUUUGUCGCGUCUGCUGUGAAAAUCCGAGGCUCAACCUCGGACCUGCAGUGGGUACGGGCAAACUAGAGUGCGGUAGGGGAGAUUGGAAUUCCUGGUGUAGCGGUGGAAUGCGCAGAUAUCAGGAGGAACACCAAUGGCGAAGGCAGAUCUCUGGGCCGUAACUGACGCUGAGGAGCGAAAGCGUGGGGAGCGAACAGGAUUAGAUACCCGGGUAGUC